Molecule: long non-coding RNA, 1450 nt
Organism: Anguilla rostrata (American eel)
Lineage: Eukaryota; Metazoa; Chordata; Actinopteri; Anguilliformes; Anguillidae
Exons: 3
Source: RefSeq, a predicted model, not a curated record
ACUGCGGCAAGACGAUCGUCCAGACGAUGUCAGCCCACAAAAAAUAAUCACACCCUCCAUAAAAUAAAAUGGCAUGAACAAGACAGCCAAUACACAGAAUAUGACAUUCUAACACCACACCUCAAAAAAAAAGAAAGAAAAAAAAAGGAAAAAAGAAAAAAAAAAAGAAGCCAGCUUGGGGCCCAAGGUGAGGCUUGAAACCUCAUGAAAAGAAAAAAGGGGGGCACCCCCCCAAGCAGCCCGUCAACCCAAAGGGCACCCCUGGAUCGGAGAGCCUCAGGACGCCCCCAGCAGGUCCACAUCCCCAAACCCCCAAACCCUGCAGCAGCGCAGAAAGAAGGAUGGAUCUGCCAGAAGAGGCUCUCCCGUUUAUGCCCUGGAACACAGACGCCAGGAACUGCGGCAAGACGAUCGUCCAGACGAUGUCAGCCCACAAUAAAUAAUCACACCCUCCAUAAAAUAAAAUGACAUGAACAAGACAGCCAAUACACAGAAUAUGACAUUCUAACACCACACCUCAAAAAAAAAGAAAGAAAAAAAAAGGAAAAAAGAAAAAAAAAAAAAAGAAGCCAGCUUGGGGCCCAAUGCGAGGCUUGAAACCUCAUGAAAAGAAAAGAGGGGGGCACCCCCCAAGCAGCCCGUCAACCCAAAGGGCACCCCUGGAUCGGAGAGCCUCAGGACGCCCCCAGCAGGUCCACAUCCCCAAACCCCCCAAACCCUGCAGCAGCGCAGAAAGAAGGAUGGAUCUGUCAAAAGAGGCUCUCCCGUUUAUGCCCUGGAACACAGACGCCAGGAAGCGAGAUAACGAUGGCCAUGAAAACUGGACUAUUGAACCUCGGAAGCCGCCGUGAAGAUCGUCGGUAACGUGAAUAAUGUGCUGUCGCUCACUGUGUGUACGCUUACGUGGCUAUGCAGCCAGAUAAACACACUUCUAAUAAAGGUCCAGAAGCAGGAGUUGAGUUUCUGAGUUUCCUUUACUGGAAGAAAAUUUGUAAAACGGCCAAACCAGAAUGGGACAGACACUGAGUUUAGCAACAAUGGUCAAAUGCAAUAACAUAAACAAACAUCAGUGACUGCACACAAACAGUACAACUGAAUCACUAGGUCCCUCAAAGCAACGGAGUUGCUAAUGUUUCUCACGCGUAAAACAAAACAUAACACUUGGACAACUAUGUAGCAAGUGUAUCAUUUGUGAGGUAAGUAUUACUUCAUUCCUUAAUAUGUCAGUCUAACGUAAUAUAUAUGCGCACAUACUGUAACUCUUAUUAAUUGAUUAUUCCGAGAUAGUGCUUCAAAAAGAGCUGUUACGGAGAGGAAGAAAGAAGGUAGACUUCGCUUGCUCUUUUUCAUGUUUGACGAACAAUUUCAAAACGACAAUGCAUGAAGCACCCGCUUAAGAUGAUAAUAAACUUAACCAGCAGAGGGCGCCAACAACAUGUAACGACAAUUC